GGUAUUCUCGUCUGCUGCUCGGCCUCCCUGUCUUCCUGAUGUUUUUUUUUUAAUGGUGACAUAUUAUCAGAGGUGGGUAGAGUAGCCAAAUAAUCAAAAGUAGUAAAAGUACUGUUACUUUAAGACUAUAAAUAUAAAAAAGUAUGCAGUGAAAAGUCUACUCAAGUACUCAAGAGUACAAGUACUGAGUUUCUCCGGAUUUAUUUUUUAAAUCUACAGGGCAACACAAACGGACACAACAAAAUAGACACAAACAAAAUAUAAAACAGCAAUGUUCAAAUAAAGAUUUGUUAAAUAACAUCCUUUUAAAUAAAACAAUUAAUAAGGUCUUUAAAAAUAAAACUAAUAACCCUUGAACUAAAACAAUAAAUUAAUUCUUUGCAAAAUUAAAUACAUCAACCUUUAAAUAAAAUUGUCAAAACCUGCUGGCAAACUCACUGAAUGUAUGAAACUACAGAGGCUGAAAAAAAGAGACCACUCGGACUAUCACACACCCAGACUCAGGGCAUGCAAAGUGAGUACAGGGAGAACAGGAAAGGUGUGUCACAGAAGAACAGUGUCUCUGUGAUUGUGAGUGUUUGGGAGUUUGUGUCAAUAGCUGCGUUUCCAACUAAAAGGUGAUGCGAAUCUUUAGAAAGUUCGCAAAAAAGUAAUUCGAAUUAGGUGCGUUUCCAUCAAGUGGUUGGAGCGGAAUAGGGUGAUGAUGUUACACGUUGAUGUCGGCAGGGUUGCUAUGGCCGGUCGUUAUGCGGAAAUCGGAAAGACUGUCAGUCCUGUGUGUUCAAAGUUCGCUACGUCACAGCUGUUUCGAAAAGUGUGUUUCCAUCUCCCAUUUUGCGAAUUUACUCU
Long non-coding RNA from Gadus macrocephalus (Pacific cod), 849 nucleotides. RefSeq lists it as uncharacterized. Lineage: Eukaryota; Metazoa; Chordata; Actinopteri; Gadiformes; Gadidae. The transcript is spliced from 2 exons. The record is from RefSeq and is a predicted model, not a curated record.